UGGCGGCGUGCCUAAUACAUGCAAGUCGAGCGAACUGAUUAGAAGCUUGCUUCUAUGACGUUAGCGGCGGACGGGUGAGUAACACGUGGGCAACCUGCCUGUAAGACUGGGAUAACUUCGGGAAACCGAAGCUAAUACCGGAUAGGAUCUUCUCCUUCAUGGGAGAUGAUUGAAAGAUGGUUUCGGCUAUCACUUACAGAUGGGCCCGCGGUGCAUUAGCUAGUUGGUGAGGUAACGGCUCACCAAGGCAACGAUGCAUAGCCGACCUGAGAGGGUGAUCGGCCACACUGGGACUGAGACACGGCCCAGACUCCUACGGGAGGCAGCAGUAGGGAAUCUUCCGCAAUGGACGAAAGUCUGACGGAGCAACGCCGCGUGAGUGAUGAAGGCUUUCGGGUCGUAAAACUCUGUUGUUAGGGAAGAACAAGUACGAGAGUAACUGCUCGUACCUUGACGGUACCUAACCAGAAAGCCACGGCUAACUACGUGCC
RNAcentral lists this ribosomal RNA (491 nucleotides) under marine sediment bacterium ISA-1263. Its description in RNAcentral is "bacterial SSU rRNA". It matches the Rfam family "Bacterial small subunit ribosomal RNA", at positions 37 to 509 of the family's 1533-position model. The record is from RNAcentral.